RNAcentral lists this ribosomal RNA (472 nucleotides) under uncultured bacterium. Its description in RNAcentral is "partial 16S ribosomal RNA". It matches the Rfam family "Bacterial small subunit ribosomal RNA", at positions 28 to 507 of the family's 1533-position model. The record is from RNAcentral.
GACGAACGCUGGCGGCGUGCUUAACACAUGCAAGUCGAACGCUGAAGCUUGGUGCUUGCACUGGGUGGAUGAGUGGCGAACGGGUGAGUAAUACGUGAGUAACCUGCCCUUGACUCUGGGAUAAGCCUGGGAAACUGGGUUUAAUACUGGAUACGACAUGCCACUGCAUGGUGGGGUGUAGAAAGGGUUUUAAUGGUUUUGGAUGGGCUCACGGCCUAUCAGCUUGGUGGUGGGGUAAUGGCCUACCAAGGCGACGACGGGUAGUCGGCCUGAGAGGGUGGCCGGCCACACUGGGACUGAGACACGGCCCAGACUCCUACGGGAGGCAGCAGUGGGGAAUAUUGCACAAUGGGCGGAAGCCUGAUGCAGCGACGCCGCGUGAGGGAUGACGGCCUUCGGGUUGUAAACCUCUUUCAGCACGGAAGAAGCGAGAGUGACGGUACGUGCAGAAGAAGCGCCGGCUAACUACGUG